AGUGAGAAGCAGGUGCUCCAGUGGCGCAAUCGGUUAGCGCGCGGUACUUAUACAGCAGUAUGUGUGCGAGGGAUGCCGAGGUUGUGAGUUCGAGCCUCACCUGGAGCAUCGUUUUC
MicroRNA precursor from Mustela putorius furo (domestic ferret), 116 nucleotides. The record is from Ensembl. NCBI's taxonomy places the organism in Eukaryota, Metazoa, Chordata, Mammalia, Carnivora, Mustelidae.